Orcinus orca (killer whale) is the source of this 1516-nucleotide long non-coding RNA. RefSeq lists it as uncharacterized. The transcript is spliced from 2 exons. The record is from RefSeq and is a predicted model, not a curated record. Lineage: Eukaryota; Metazoa; Chordata; Mammalia; Artiodactyla; Delphinidae.
CAGCCUAGGUCCACAGAAAUUCCUGGUACUUCAAGCCCCCAUUCUAGGUCAGACUAGAAUAAGAGGAAAGGCUACCCAUGAGUUUUUCCUUCAUCUUCCUGCCCCUCAUCGCCCACUCCAUCCUUCAUCCUCCAGGUCCCCUGUGGGAUCGCAGCCUCAGCAAUGAAGUCUAACUUCUCCAAAUAUACAGGUAUCUGCUCUGAGCUCUGAGGCCCCUGCCAAAGGCAUCUCAGGGAUUCGAGAAUCUGAUGUAAUUCUGAUGCAGUGCAUGAUUGAAGGAAUGGUACCUUCAGGGCAGAGCCAAAAGUGUACCAGGAAGAAAUAGAAAAUAUGAACAGACCAAUCACAAGCACUGAAAUUGAAACUGCGAUUACAAAUCUUACAAAGAACAAAAGCCCAGAGAAACAGAGCUGGAGGAAUCAGGCUCCCUGACUUCAGACUAUACUACAAAGCUACAGUAAUCAAGACAGUAUGGUACUGGCACAAAAACAGAAAUACAGAUCAAUGGAACAGGAUAGAAAGCCCAGAGAUAAACCCACGCACAUAUGGUCACCUUAUCUUUGAUAAAGGAGGCAAGAGUAUACAAUGGAGAAAAGACAGCCUCUUCAAUAAGUGGUGCUGGGAAAACUGGACAGCUACAUUUAAAAGAAUGAAAUUAGAACACUCCCUAACACCAUACACAUAAAUAAACUCAAAAUGGAUUAAAGACCUCAAUGUAAGGCCAGACACUAUAAAACUCUUAGAGGAAAACAGAGGCAGAACACUCUAUGACAUAAAUCACAGUUAGAUUCUUUUUGAGCUGCCUCCUAGAAAAAUGGAAAUAAAAACCAAAGUAAACAAAUGAGACCUAAUGAAACUUAAAAGCUUUUGCACGGCAAAGGAAACCAUAAACAAGACAAAAAGACAACCCUCAGAAUGGGAGAAAAUAUUUACCACUGAACCAACUGACAAAGGAUUAAUCUCCAAAAUAUAUAAGCAGCUCAAUAUCAAAAAAAACCCAAAAAGCCAAUCCAAAAAUGGGUGGAAGACCUAAAUAGACAUUUCUGCAAAGAAGAUAUACAGAUGGCCAACAGACACAUGAAAGGAUGCUCAACAUCCCUAAUCAUUCGAGAAACGCAAAUCAAAACCACAAUGAGGUAUCACCUCACACCAGUCAGAAUGGCCAUCAUAAAAAAUCUACAAACAAUAAAUGCUGGAGAGGGUGUGGAGAAAAGGUGACCCUCUUGCUCUGUUGGUGGGAAUGUAAAUUGAUACAGCCACUAUGGAGAACAGGAUGGAGGUUCCUUAAAAAACUAAAAAAAAGAACUACCAUACGACCCAGCAAUCCCACUACUGGGCAUAUACCCUGAGAAAACCAUAACUCAAAAAGAGACAUGUAUCACAAUGUUCAUUGCAGCACUAUUUAUAAAAGCCAGGACAUGGAAACAACCUAAGUGUCCAUCGACAGAUGAAUGGAUAAAGAAGAUGUGGCACAUAUAUGCAAUGGAAUAUUACUCAGCCAUAAAAAGAAACGAAA